AAGGAAGGCAGCAGGCGCGUAAAUUACCCAACCCUGACACGGGGAGGUAGUGACAAUAAAUAACAAAGCGGGGCUUUUUAAGUCUUGCUAUUGGAAUGAGAGCAAUUUAAAUCCCUCAUCGAGGAUCAAUUGGAGGGCAAGUCUGGUGCCAGCAGCCGCGGUAAUUCCAGCUCCAAUAGCGUAUAUUAAAGUUGUUGCAGUUAAAAAGCUCGUAGUUGGAUUUCUGGUCUGUGUCCCGGGUCGGCCCGAUAGGGUCUGUACUAGGCGACGCUGGCCAUCCUGUGAGCAACCUUUUCUGCUAUUAAUUUAGUGGGGAAGUGAGCUCACUCGUUUACUGUGAACAAAUUAUAGUGUUUAAAGCAGGCAAUUGCCUUGAAUACAUUAGCAUGGAAUAAUAAGAUAGGACUUCUGGCCUAUUUUGUUGGUUCAGGCCUGAGGUAAUGAUUAAUAGGGAUAGUUGGGGGUAUUCAUAUUCAAUUGUCAGAGGUGAAAUUCU
RNAcentral lists this ribosomal RNA (496 nucleotides) under uncultured eukaryote. RNAcentral's name for it is "SSU rRNA". It matches the Rfam family "Eukaryotic small subunit ribosomal RNA", at positions 418 to 920 of the family's 1831-position model. The record is from RNAcentral.